UGUAGGGUGCUGCUCCCUUCUCUCGGUGGUGGCCGGCAGUGGAGACGGGCCCGAGGGGAGAGGAGCAUGUGGUGGAGCUCCGGCCGUGUUCCUCAACUACUAAUUGGAUCCCACGCGCGCGGGUGGUUCUUGUGGCUCGCGAAGCCUUCGGCGGCGAUGGUGCUCCUUUUGGAUUUAUUUUGGUGCUAGGCGUGCUUUGGUUGCCCCGCGUGCGUUUGUCUGUAGUUGCGUGUGUGCUUGGCUCGUGUGCAUGCGUGUGUGUGUGGUGCAUGCGUGCGUGCUGAUUGAAAGUACAACCCUAUUACACUGAUUGUUUGCUACUGCCACUAAUUGCUAUGCCGAUGCUACUAAUUUUGCUGCUCCUUGGUUCCUAUACAGUAGACACUUGCUACCGCCGUUGGUUGCUAUUGCUGCUGCCGCUGAUUGCUAUUACUGUUGCUGCUGAUUUUCCUACUCCUUAGUACAUAUACAGUAGAUAGAAGAUAAUAUGCAUUCCCAAAUAAAAAAUAUAGAAGAUCUGUAUGUUUUAAAAUUCUUGCAAAUUGAACCAACUACUUUUUAUCUCUUCUCUAAUCUUUCUCUCGAUCAGAUUCUCUUUUAUGCUCUCCAUUGCAAAAAAUUACUCAAUAUGUAUAAUAAAAAUCACGGAACCUUGUAGCUCCUUUAUGAUUCCAUUAUCCCUUGUCCUUGCAAUUGUUAGUAUUAUUUGUUCCGCCUAUAUCUUAUCAUGUGAUUUUUUUCCCUUGCAAUUUUUGUGCCUGCAAGAUGUCAGCUAACUGUCUUUCGGUAUCUAAACAGAUGCAGUAACUAUGAUGUUGGUAUGAAACUAUCCUACAGGUCAGGUUUCGAACUGUUAACAAUAGAUGUGCAGAUCGGUAGAUUGUGUUAAAAUCAUUAACUUGCCCGGCUUGAUUGUGUAAGGGAUUAACUUGCUUUAAUGGCAUGCAGUUUCAGGGGUAGAUGGAAAUGUACAGCUUAUGGCAUAAUCGCAGAAAGUCAGGCAACCCAUUCGCUUACUUGAUAAACCCUCCCCUGGUUCAGGCCACUAAGGUGCCCAUUUCCUUAUCUCCUCCUCAUGACGUAACAUUCUUAUUUAUUCCAUAUCCUUAAUUUUUAUACUAACUGGUCCUAUGAAUCUUUGUUAGUUAAGUGUGCCAAUAUAUGUCUAUUUUUUCCGGUCUUAACGACAUGACAAAUGAUACAUGAUUAGGGAGCUGAGUUGUGACCAAAGAUCAAAUCCUCUUGGAUAUAUGAUAUUCUACAUUGGCAGCAAAGGCACAUGGGUAGUGUUUCCUAAAACUGGGUGAGUACUGACAUAAAAUUGUUCAUCCAUUACUUAGGUUUGCUUUUAUUCAGAUUGUUCAGCCAUUACAUAGGUAGUCCCUAAUGCAUUUUCUUAAAUGUAUAUUCAACUUAGUGCUAGGUUGGUCUUGAAGAAUUAAAUAGUGCUGCAUCAAAUUAUUUUUAUUACCCUGUAAACUCCUUGGAUCCUACCUUCUCUAGAAACAAAAAUCCACUACUUUUUCCUAGAGAAGCCCAAAUCUAAAGAAGUGUUUCUUUUCCAUGUUGUUUUUUCUACUGGUUGUAAGAGUAUUAUUCUUGAUUGAGAAAUUAUAAUGUGAUAUUUUAGUUCUCAGGUAACUACAAAGUUUUGUGUGAUGUAGAUUAGUUAAUGAUUUUGAGCUAUUGGCAUUGAGUUCCUUUCUCCUAAUACAUCAUACCAAGCAUGAGCAGGACGUGAGUAAUGGUGACACUAAACUAGUUAAUGUUGAGACCUUUGGACAACGGAAAUAUCCAAUUUUGUGUAGUCGAUAAUAUUGCGCACCUACUCAUCAUUUAGUUGGUUGCUGAAUUCAUCUCAUUGUUGAUAUAAUAUAAUGUCUGGAUAAUUGUUAGUAGUGAAUACAUGCUGCUGGUUGUUCGUAGGGAACAAGCACACGCAAUUGGCAAAGAUAAUCAGUCUUUUAACAUGUCCUCCUACUAAGUUAUUUGUCAAAUAUACAUAAGAUUAUGUCUUUCUCCCAACAAUAUUUUCAUGCACACUUUGUAAUUUUUAUGUGGAUCCUUUUAGGUACAAUGCAUAGUAUGUAUAUUUUUAAACUUCAUUUCGAAUUUACGCCAAAAUAGUAUUAUGAUUUUUCUUUGUAGGUUGAGAAUUUCAAUACAAGAUGAUUACUUGGAUCUUGGAGAACGUAUGAUGAUUCUUGGUACUUGGAGGAGAAACAAGACAGUUCUUUGAAUGUUUAGAAAUUCGAUAUUUUCUUUUAUUUUGUUUUCUAAGGAAGUGAUGUACCCCUAGUAGAUGAUACUUCCAUUGUACGUAAUGUAACAGAUGGCUCCAUUGAAUAAAUAUAUCAUUUUCAUUUCUACUCUAUCGAAUUUUGCUAAAGUUCUACCUUGUACUACCAUUCAAACUACCUACUGUUACAAAUGAUUAUAUAUGGAGGUUUCUAUUUUGCAAGCACAAACAAUGUUAUAAAUGAUUAUAUAUGGAGGUUAUUCUAUUUUGCAAGCACCAACGCAUAGAAGCGUUGCAUGAAUCCGUUGUUGCUUUGCAACACAUUAUUUCCUCGAUUACCAACGGAUCUAUAUACGUUGUAGUAGACCCUUGCAACGCCACCAACGGCAACACAUAUGAAUCCAUUGAUGUAGACCUUAGCAACGCUAAUACAGAC
Molecule: long non-coding RNA, 2675 nt
Filed under: Triticum aestivum (bread wheat)
Lineage: Eukaryota; Viridiplantae; Streptophyta; Magnoliopsida; Poales; Poaceae
Description: long non-coding RNA (TAES_LNC023982)
Source: RNAcentral